CGGCGCCUAAGGAUGGGUCUGCGGCCUAUCAGGUAGUAGUGGGUGUAGCGUACCUACUAGCCUACGACGGGUACGGGUUGUGAGAGCAAGAGCCCGGAGAUGGAUUCUGAGACACGAAUCCAGGCCCUACGGGGUGCAGCAGGCGCGAAAACUUUACAAUGCUGGAAACAGCGAUAAGGGGACCUCGAGUGCCAGGUUACAAAUCUGGCUGUCGUGAUGCCUAAAAAGCAUUGCAUAGCAAGGGCCGGGCAAGACCGGUGCCAGCCGCCGCGGUAACACCGGCGGCUCGAGUGGUAACCGUUAUUAUUGGGUCUAAAGGGUCUGUAGCCGGCCGGAUAAGUCUCUUGGGAAAUCCAGCAGCUCAACUGUUGGGCUUUCAGGAGAUACUGUCUGGCUCGAGGCCGGGAGAGGUGAGAGGUACUUCAGGGGUAGGGGUGAAAUCUUGUAAUCCUUGAAGGACCACCAGUGGCGAAGGCGUCUCACCAGAACGGACCUGACGGCAAGGGACGAAAGCUAGGGGCACGAACCGGAUUAGAUACCCGGGUAGUCCUAGCCGUAAACGAUACUCGCUAGGUGUCGGCCACGGUGCGACCGUUGUCGGUGCCGUAGGGAAGCCGUGAAGCGAGCCACCUGGGAAGUACGGCCGCAAGGCUGAAACUUAAAGGAAUUGGCGGG
RNAcentral lists this ribosomal RNA (675 nucleotides) under uncultured archaeon. RNAcentral's name for it is "bacterial SSU rRNA". It matches the Rfam family "Archaeal small subunit ribosomal RNA", at positions 197 to 872 of the family's 1478-position model. The record is from RNAcentral.